Molecule: ribosomal RNA, 279 nt
Filed under: uncultured bacterium
Lineage: Bacteria
Description: partial 16S ribosomal RNA
Rfam family: Bacterial small subunit ribosomal RNA
Source: RNAcentral
UGCCAGCCGCCGCGGUAAUACGAACCGUCCAAACGUUAUUCGGAAUCACUGGGCUUAAAGCGUGCGUAGGCGGCUUAGCAAGUUGGGUGUGAAAUCCCUCAGCUCAACCGAGGAACUGCGCUCAAAACUGCUAGGCUAGAGGGAGAUAGGGGUGAGCGGAACUAAUGGUGGAGCGGUGAAAUGCGUUGAUAUCAUUAGGAACACCGGUGGCGUAAGCGGCUCACUGGGUCUCUUCUGACGCUGAGGUACGAAAGGUAGGGGAGCGAACGGGAUUAGAUA